Macaca mulatta (Rhesus monkey) is the source of this 2034-nucleotide non-coding RNA. The record is from RefSeq and is a predicted model, not a curated record. NCBI's taxonomy places the organism in Eukaryota, Metazoa, Chordata, Mammalia, Primates, Cercopithecidae.
CCCCUGCUCCCCGCACCCUCCCACUCCUCCUCCCCCCUCCCCGCCAAGCAGCCCUGCUCACCUCCCACCGGCUGCACCUUUCCUUUGGCUGCAGUAAUGAACUUGGGUUUCUCAUAGGCAGCACCGUAUAGACAGGACCUGCUGGCAGGAUGCGGGCCAGGGUCGCAGGCAAGCCACGAUGGAGACACACCUCACAGCCCAGCUCCAGUGACCUCAGAGGAGCCCAGUGAGGCCCACUCUGCAGACCACGCACCCCCAGCAGGGCCCUCCCCGUCUGUGCCUCCAGGGGCACAGCUGGGUGUGCAUGGCCAGUCAGGACCUGGACUGAGAACAGGCUGGGUCAUGCACCGGGCAACUGGCCACAGCCAGUGACUUCUGUGGUCACUGCCAGAGGCACCGCCGGCUGGCUGCAGGCCAGUGGGAGCAGGAGAGGGCAGCCAUCCUCUCCACUCCGCUGUCACAGUGACCUUCAGGUCAGGACGCCCAGACCAGACACAAAGGCCCUGUACGGGAGACAGGUCGCAGGAGGGGGUGUGCCGCGCCCCUGGACCGCCCCCGCCCUGUGUCAUUGGUAGCUGGUGUCCGUCCGGCACCUUCUCAGGACCGGCUGGAGUCCCAGGCCUCCCUGGGGUGGGGCUGAGGUGUGGGCAGCCCACGGCUGGGUCUCUGCCUCCCUGAGGCCUCUCAGUGGGCUGGGGACGACCUCAACAGGAACGAGCGUCUUUACCUGUCCCGUGAGAGGUGCAGAAAGAGGACCCGAAAGGCUAUCGUCCAUGUCUUUCAGCAGCAGCGAGCACUCGGUGGCUUCAGUGACCGCCGACUGCUGCGCAACCCUGACCCGCAGGCUCAGGCACCUGACGGAGGGACAGUUUGGGGCCUGGAGUCAGAAGCCCCAGGGCCGCGUCAGGACUUGCGGCUGGGCUGCUGCUGUUCUCCCCGGUGUUCAUCCAGGGAUGCUCGAAGAAACGCUUUUGGAGCGUUUCUUGAAAAUCAACAUCAUACGGGCCUCAUUCUGUGAUCGCAUGUGAUAAAAUCAGCCCCACCCCAGGCACUGCAUCCAGGUGGAAAUUCAAAAACCCUCUCCUACUUGACUCACUAGUGGAACAGAACCCGCGCUGAAGCGUUGGGCGGUUCACACGCUGCUGCUGCGGGGCCCAGGGCAAGGCCGGGAGGGAGGCGGAGAGCACAGGAGCCAGGCUGCGGCCCGGAGCAGCCACAGCAGGGCCCCGGGCUGCCCUCGCGCAGAUGCAGAGAGCUCCACAAAGACGAAGCAGAACACAAGGAAAGCCCGAGUCAGACAGAAAUCCGUGUUGCUGGGGUCUGUAAACCAAAGCCAGCUCCUUAAAAAGGUCCACUGUGUUGGAGCCUGUGAUUCUGAUUUAGAAGAGAUGGCGUCGCCAGCCUGGCUAACACGGUGAAACCACAUCUCUACUAAAAAUACAAAAAUUAGCCGGGCGUGUUGGCGCGUGCCUGUAAUCCCAGCAACCCGGGAGGCUGAGGCAGGAGAAUUGCUUGAACCAGGGAGCUGGAAGUUGCAGUGAGCUGAGAUUGCACCACUGUGCUCCAGCCUGGGCGACAGAGAGACGGCGCCGAUAAACGGCAAUGAGGGAGGCGUGCCUGCGGCAAGGGCUUUGUGAAAGCUGUAAGAACACAUGCCCUACAAAUUCACACGGACACACCACAAACUUAGAGGAAAAGGGUUCCUAGGCCCUUCCCAAGGCCCUGGAGUUGCCUUUCGAAGCCAGACAGGACACGUGGAUGCAAGGCCCACUUCUCAGAGAAAGCCUGAAGCAAGCUCAGGAAACUUCUGGAGCUUUCUGGAGCUGUGCGGAAAGCUGUGGAUAUGAGGCCCCAUGACAUGGGCCUCUGAACUUGCACAGGCUGGACGUAUGGCACAAAAAUCGCAGAUGGAAAAGAGGAAACCACAGCUUUCACGCUAAUGAACAGUGUUUCUUACAAGGAGUUACCUGGCUUCUAGAUCUGUGAUCAUGAAUUCCAAUAAAGGCAGUCGGUUUGGUCUUUCUUUCUUGAGGA